GACGAACGCUGGCGGCGUGCCUAAUACAUGCAAGUCGAGCGAAGUUUUUCUGGUGCUUGCACUAGAAAAACUUAGCGGCGAACGGGUGAGUAACACGUAAAGAACCUGCCUCAUAGACUGGGACAACUAUUGGAAACGAUAGCUAAUACCGGAUAACAGUAUUUCUCGCAUGAGAGAUAUUUAAAAGUUGGUUAUGCUAACACUAUGAGAUGGCUUUGCGGUGCAUUAGCUAGUUGGUGGGGUAAAGGCCCACCAAGGCGACGAUGCAUAGCCGACCUGAGAGGGUGAUCGGCCACACUGGGACUGAGACACGGCCCAUACUCCUACGGGAGGCAGCAGUAGGGAAUCUUCCGCAAUGGGCGAAAGCCUGACGGAGCAACGCCGCGUGAGUGAAGAAGGAUUUCGGUUCGUAAAGCUCUGUUGUUAGGGAAGAAUGGAUAUGUAGUAACUAUACAUGUAAGAGACGGUACCUAACCAGAAAGCCACGGCUAACUACGUG
RNAcentral lists this ribosomal RNA (499 nucleotides) under uncultured bacterium. Its description in RNAcentral is "partial 16S ribosomal RNA". It matches the Rfam family "Bacterial small subunit ribosomal RNA", at positions 28 to 507 of the family's 1533-position model. The record is from RNAcentral.